GAUGAACGCUGGCGGCAUGCCUAACACAUGCAAGUUGAACGAGAAGUUCUGGAACAAGUCUUCGGACAAGGGAAGGGACGGGAAGUAGCGAACGGGUGAGUAACGCGUGGGCAACCAACCUUACACAGGGGGAUAACGCAGAGAAAUUUGCGCUAAUACCGCAUAAGCGCACAGGAUCACAUGAUCUGGUGUGAAAAACUCCGGUGGUGUAAGACGGGCCCGCGUCUGAUUAGCUAGUUGGUGAGGUAAGAGCUCACCAAGGCGACGAUCAGUAGCCGACCUGAGAGGGUGAUCGGCCACAUUGGGACUGAGACACGGCCCAAACUCCUACGGGAGGCAGCAGUGGGGGAUAUUGCACAAUGGAGGGAACUCUGAUGCAGCAAUGCCGCGAGAAGGAAGAAGGUUUUCGGAUUGUAAACUUCUAUCAGCAGGGA
RNAcentral lists this ribosomal RNA (434 nucleotides) under Lachnospiraceae bacterium oral taxon A61. Its description in RNAcentral is "bacterial SSU rRNA". It matches the Rfam family "Bacterial small subunit ribosomal RNA", at positions 28 to 445 of the family's 1533-position model. Lineage: Bacteria; Bacillati; Bacillota; Clostridia; Lachnospirales; Lachnospiraceae. The record is from RNAcentral.